RNA transcript from Lolium rigidum, 1463 nucleotides. It is a transcript of the gene named phospholipase D delta-like, with no coding region annotated. The record is from RefSeq and is a predicted model, not a curated record. NCBI's taxonomy places the organism in Eukaryota, Viridiplantae, Streptophyta, Magnoliopsida, Poales, Poaceae. The transcript is spliced from 7 exons.
AGUUGGUGCUGCACUUUUAUCCCAUUUUUCCAAUAGCGAGCUCCUCUUAAGUGGCUUGGCUUGUAUUGACAUUUUGCUGAAGCUCCCACUGAACAUGUGCGCCAAGUUGUUAAAUGUUAGACAAACAGGCUUUCUGAUUUUUAGAAGGUGGAACAUUGGACUGCGAUGCGAGCUUUAAACUACUAUGAUGGUGUGAUGGGAACACAUGAUGAAGAAACUAGAAAGUUUUUCAAGCAUUCUUCAGUCAUUUGUGUUUUUUCACCUUGAUAUGCCCGCAGUAAGCUGAGUAUUUUCAAACAACAGGCAAGUUCUGGCAGUAGGUUUCCUAAGGCAAGUGCGAAUGGACCGAGACAACUUUGGUAUGAUUUGCACUGUAAGAAUGAUGGACCAGCUGCCUAUGAUGUCUUUUUUUAAGCAUCGCUAGAGAAAGGUAUCCAAGUUCCGCGAUCGAUUUAGGAAAGUAUCUCGUUGAAAAGAUGAUGCUCUAUUAAAGUUGGAGCAUAUCUCAUGGAUACUCAGCCCUUCGGCUAAUGUUCCAAAUGAUCAUGUUAGUUUGCGGGUUUCAAAAGAACAAGAUUCUGAAAAUUGACAUGUUCAGGUCUUAGCACUAUUCUUGUGCUAACAAUCUGAUACCGAUGGAAUUGGCCCUCAAAAUUGCAAGCAAGAUUAGAGCUGGCGAAUGAUUUACAGUUUAUGUAGUCAUACCAAUGUGUCCUGAGAGUCCCUAUCACAGCCUCUGUGCAAGAAAUUCUUUACUUUUAGGCUCAGACAAUGGAGAUGAUGUAUAGAGUAAUUGCACAAGAGCUCAAGGCCAUGAAUAUUGAGAAUGCAAAGCUUCAAGAUUACUUGAACUUCUACUGUCUUGGCAAUCGGGGAGAACCAUCAACAAAUGGUAGUCCUGACUCAGACAAAUCUUCAGAUAGAAGUGCAGCGGGCCUGGCUAGAAAAUAUCGGCGGUUCAUGAUCUAUGUUCAUGCAAAAGGGAUGAUCUAUGAAAUCUGCUGAACUUCCUUGAAUUUCUCUUUUUCCAGGUUGUCAGGAUCCUCCAGCUAGUCUGGACAACUACAAGCAGCACUCUACUGGAACCAGCGGCUAGGAUGGAAGAGGACCAGAGGAGAAGCAUCGGACGGCCAGAAGUGUGUAUGGACUGAGUCAAGACAUAGUUUUAAUCGCUAUCUGUAAUCUCUGUUUUAAUCGUUAAGUCACUAUUAAUUGUACUAAACAAUGCUUGGGCGCCUUUCCUUAUCGUGUGGUCGGAGGAGCCAUUCAGUCUAUCUCACCUCACCUGCAUGCAUUAUCCUCUCACCCAGUGCAGCUGCAUAAACCCUUGCCUGCAAGUUUGUACUUCAUGCAACUGAAGGCUGGAAUGUACAUCACCUCCUGACCUGGCUGCCAUGGCUUGUAAGAAUGCGUGUAACCAACACCUCAAGUCCUCAACUUGCGAGAGCCUAGCCAGCUCCCUG